CUAUUCCGUUAUCGGUAUCUUUAUUGAUAGUCAUUAAAUAAUGUUUUCUCCAAAGUGAGAGAAAAUACAUUAAUUUGAUGAUAACAGUAUAAAUCUAAGCAAUAACCAAACCCCUGCUUCCUUCUGCUGGGUCUGAUCUGUCUCCAUGCCUGGGGGCAGCUGUUUCCUUCUCACUUAUUCCCUAUCUGAAGAAGUUACACAGAAUCUAAUGUUCCCUACUAUAGGAAAUGGUUAAAUGCAAUUGGAUAACAAUGGAUUAUGAGGUAGAAGGCAAUAUUCCAGCCACUAAAAGCACAAACGCAAAGUGCUGUCCCAAACGACAGGCUAAAAGCAACGGGGAGCACUUCCUCUGAGGGGGUCACAUGUGUCUCAGGCUGCACAAUUUAAACUAGUCACUAUCAUUCCUGAAAAGUCAGCUCUGCCUUCCAAAUCUGAAAUAGUCACAAUUGCUGAAGCCCAAUCUGGCUUGCUCCGAUCAGCUACAGUCCUCCAUGCCUAUCUCAGAGAAGGAAAAUCUGUGUGUGUGUAUGUGUGUGCAUGCACACACACCCUCAUUAAGAAGAUAAAGCAAAUAAACUUCCCGCCAAGCUCACAGUACACUCAAAGUCAACUGCGCUGUAUUUACUCACAUAAUCAGUCUCAUCUGCACUUAUUUUUCUAAUGAAACAGGACUGGAAAUUAAACAUGGCUAAACAGCAGCUAAGUCUGACUGCCUAAUGGACUCGGGCACUCUGCUGAGCGAUAAGCACUCAGUUACAGCUCAGCUCCACCGAACCUCUCUUGGUCCUCAAUACCUGGAAUUACUUGCAAGCUCAAGUAGUUUUCCUUGGCACCUUUGGCAGAGAGAGCUCCUUGUUGGGUUGGGAAUCCCUUACAAUGAAGCGGAGCCAGUGUCUUAGGAGGAGGAAGUAGACGGGGGCGAAAGAAACUCCAUCUUCCUCCACCUGGUCGUUGGUUUCUUGGAAGAAGGGAGCUUUCAAAAGGCAGGCGGAGCCACGAGCAAGAAAACGGCCACUACAAGGGAGGGAGGCAGGAACCUUCCCAAAAGAAAGCUACAUCCCCGCGGGUU
Molecule: long non-coding RNA, 1069 nt
Filed under: Capra hircus (goat)
Lineage: Eukaryota; Metazoa; Chordata; Mammalia; Artiodactyla; Bovidae
Description: lncRNA (ENSCHIG00010011215.1)
Source: RNAcentral